GUUUCCCAAACCUGUCAGAAUCAUCUGGGAUGCCUUUUUAAAAGCACAGUAAUAUAGGCUCCUUUCAGACACCCUGAAACAGAAUCUCUGAGACUGGGCUCAGGAAAUCAAGGUCUUUCCUGAAGGAUACUAUUUUGUGUAAUUCUCUCACCCUCCCCCUCUCUUUUUUUCUUCCAUCAGGUACUGCUUUUCUAAGACUGGCUGUUAUCAGCAUGAAGGGGACCCCAGAUUAUCCUGGAAUCACUUCCCCUUGGAGCUGGAAGAGGACCUAGGCCACCUCCCACCCCUGAGUCACUGAGAACCGUGGAGUACCAGAGCAGAGGACCCUGGGUGACCAGUGAAAAUGAAGGACUCCUCCCAGCCUGGCAACUCGAUUACUGGGUUCACCAAGGUCCAGCCAACAAAGGCAAUGGCCACAGUGAAGUGACAGGGGUCCUGCCGCUGAGGAUGAAAAGCAACCUUGCCAGUGUUUUACAAGCAGGGCCAAACUUCCAGACUACCUCACUCAACAUAUGAGCAUCUUUUCGUUUCCCUGUUCGCCAUAAGGAACUAUGAAACGGAGGGUGAGAGAGAGAGGGUCAAACGUUUACAAACGUCACUCAAUUUUACAGCUGAACAAUGAACAGCGAUGCCGGGACCGUGAGGACGACGGAAAGGAUGACGGAGAAGGAGGUUUUUCAAGGCCUACCCCCUGAGACUUCUUCCCAUCUCCCCUUCCUGGUGUUCCGGUGCAUUCUGCUGAUGAAUUUAGAUGGUGAUGUCUA
This 764-nucleotide long non-coding RNA is filed under the name Capra hircus (goat). RNAcentral's name for it is "lncRNA (ENSCHIG00000006027.1)". Lineage: Eukaryota; Metazoa; Chordata; Mammalia; Artiodactyla; Bovidae. The record is from RNAcentral.